CCGUCUCUCAAAAUAAAUAUUUUUAAAAGAUAAAUGAUGACCACUGGGAUGAGUCACCAAUAGUUUCAAGGAGAAUGACUUCUGAAGUGUCUGUUGACUGACAGAGCACUCAAAGGAAGUAGCAUUUGCAGGGGCAAGGUGGUCUACAGGAAGGAGUGGACUGAGGACUAGGAUGACAGCUGCAUGAGUAAACUUUGGCCGGACUGCAAAGGAAUUUGGAAAGUGUACUGAAAGAAUGGGUGACAUCAGUAAGACUCGUGGCCAGUUGGAUGUGGAGGUGAAGGGACACACAAAAAGGGCUCUGCUUUGCACAACUCAGUGGCUGGAGGCAGGCUGCGAGGACGAGUUUGGUCUUAGACAUGCUAAAUUAGAGGUGUCUGUCAGCCACCAGGAAGGGAUACUACGAGGCACAAAAAGUAGGUAAGAUGGAAACUGAAAGGUAACUGGUGUUCACAAGAUUGUAUUACUGCUAGCAGGUGUUUAAAUAGUUCAAAUUUGCUUGAGUAAUGUGGAAAAGUAAUUUCUCUGGAAUCCCUUAUCUCCUAAAGAGUGGAUACAGGAACACAUGUCUUUAGGAGGUUUUUAAUCUAGCUCACCUACAUGGUAUGUGCUGAUCUAGUUCAGAAUUAAUUUACUCUUUUCUUGUGUGGGCCUGCGAACUACAUUUGAUUAAUUUCAGAGGUGACAUAUUCAGCAUGAGGCAUAAAAUAAAAGUCACUGAGUAAGACAAUAUAUCCCCAAACUGAAUCUAGACAAAAGAAUCAAACAGUUCUUUUUAAAUGACGUACCAAGUUCCUGUUUUUUCUCUUUCCCUCAUCCCUUACCCAUGAAAUGUCAGUUUAGUUCCAUUACCAACUUGAGUACAAAAUAACAGCAAAAUCAUAGACCUGGGCAGCAACAUUAGAAUUCAGGCUGAAUUCAUAGCAGCUGGCAGACCCCAAAGGUAUUUGAAAAGCCAAUACAGAUUAGUGGGGAAAAAAAUCUCUAGAAGCAGCCUUAAUUUUAUACUAUAACUGCAUACCCUAAAUUUUCAUAGACCUGUAACGGCUGCCCAGUUACUUUGAAACAGUCAUUAUUUCCUAAAACAAACUCCAGAAAACUCUUUGGAAGCAGCCAUUAAUAUGGCUUUCUUCAAAUAAGAGAGAACCAUGAUUUGAGGUACAGGUGUUGACCUAAACUGGAAGUCUGUGGUCACUUCAUAUUGCAGAAAAAAUUGAAAGACUUAACCAUAAGCUUUACUUUCAAAUUGAUUAGUAUCUAUGCUUCCAGAGUGGCUGCUGAUUUAAUGAAUGUAACGGAUGCACUGAGGAUUUGCUGACGAAAGGAGCUACCUUGGAAAUAAAACAGAAAUGAAGAUAUCUAAUUGGUGCCACAUUAGCUAAAGGUCAACAGACCUAUUUGUAUGCAUGCUCAAUCAGAGGAACGGUUACAUUUCAUCUACCCAGCUGGAAAAAGCAAAUAUUUGAAGGAAGGAAAAAGGGAAGUGUACGUAUUUAUAAUGAAGUCAUACUCAAAUGCCUGGGCCCGACUUGAGGUGGUAAGUUACUCUGUUAUUACUUGGAUGAUGCAGGGCCCAGGUAGGGCUGUGACUGAGAAAGGCAGCUUUAGGUUACCUGUGUGGCUUCAAGGAUAAAGUCAUGGAUGAUAAUUUGUUCUUCAUUUGAGAGGCACAGUCUGUCUUUGCUGAUAAGGGUGACGGUAAAGGCCUCACAGUUCAUGGAUUCUUCUCGACUUGGCCAGUAUACAAACUCAUCUUCUGCCUGUGGGAACCGCCCCCAAAGAAAAAAUUCCUCUGCAGUGCUGUCAAACAUUUGUUUUUGAAUUUUCUUGCAAAUUGAUGUAUCCUGUCUGUCAUUUCCCAUACCUCCCGAGUCACCUUUUAACUUGGGCACAUAGAAUUACAUCCCCCUCUAAUCAUCCCAAGUUCAGUGGUCACUGUAAAUUGUAAUUGAUAAUAACCGUAUUCUAGACUUGCCUCCCUACAUCACUGUAACAACCAAAAAUGCUCCCCCUAGAGGGGACAUAUUAAAAUUAAUCGACUUGGAUCCUGUCUUGUUUACUAUGAUGUAUUAUUACAGAAUAUCUCUCAACUGGGGCUAAUAUAUUAUUUCACAAUUGCUUAAGCAACGAAGACAUCCUAGUUGUUACUUCCUGUGGCUUAACAUUUCUACAGUUGAUUAGCAUUUUGCAUAGGGAUUUCAUAAACGUGGUCUUAAUUUUUACAAUAUACUAGGGAGGUGAGGGAUUUUUAUCAUCUGUCUUUACAGACGAGGACAUCAAGACUCAGAGAAGCCUGUAAGUUGUCUCAAAUCACACUUGCUACUAAAUGGUAAGCAACAGAACCUGUCUGGAAAGAGGCUGUGCAUAAAUAAGCUUAUGUUGGUUCUAAGUACAAAGUGCCUUUUCAAAGAAAAGUUAAUCUAACCAUGUUAGGUGUCAAAAGGAGAUUAACACAGAAAAAGGCUUUCAGCCUUGAGUCAGGCAAGCUUUAAAUGUUCAUCUAUUUUAGCAUUAAAAAUAAAUAUUCAGGCUCUUUACUUGAAUUCCAUCCCUGAAAACUGCAGAGGCCGAAGAAAAAGUGAAGAGAUGUAGAGGUGGGAGUCUUUGUGAGAAAUACAACGAUUAGGGUAAGACCCCUGACCCCCCCAUCCCUCUUUUUCUCAUCAGUCCAAAUGGCAAACUCUGCUUUGCCUGGAAUAGCUACACUUCCAUGGGCAUUUGCCUGAAAAUGCUUAGAUACUACUAGUGAAGUCAGAAAUAAUUCUGAAUAAUGUUCAAAACAAAGAAGGUUUUGUUUAAUCUUACAUUGUUGCAUCAGAAAUGAGCCAACAGUCCAAUAAGACUUAUCACCCUUUCAAGUUUCAAUAUAGCUUAUUGCCAAGUACAUUUUUAUUUUUAAAGCUCAGCAUAAGGGGAAACAGAUUAGCAAUUGGGUUUAGGCUAUACAAAAGACAGUCUGUAACUGUCAGGGGUUUUAAUACAUUUUGUCCAAGGAAAUGGAAGUUAAGACCCUUCUAACAGAUACUAAAGAUGUAAGGUAAUAAUGGACAAGGCCUAUAAAUUUAACCAGUGCGCAGAGAUUAAACACGGGAUUUAGGAUUGAAUAAAUUAAUCUGGGCCUUAAUUUCCAUAUCUGAAAAGUGGGAAUAACAUUAUGUACCUGUAAGACAUUAACUUGAAUAGUAAAUUAUCAAAUUGGCCUAAUGACUGCCAAGGGGAUUUUAAUAAGCAAACACACACACACACACCAAAACAUCUGACUACAGAAAGCAAAUUAGGGAGAAACUGAUCAUCUUCAAAUGCUCUGAAAAAUACAUGCUACUUCUUAAUUCAGUAGGACCUCUGGUCUCAUGGUUAUUUUGCUUACAAAUACAUUUGUAGAUCAAAGAUGCCUAGGCAUAUCUAGAACAGUGCAUUCUGACCUAGGAACCCGUGACUUUGGGCUAGUCACAGAAUCAUGGUCUUGUAAAAUUAUAGCAGUAAGAAAUAAAGCAAACAAAGAGAAUCGGCAGACAUUUUUUAGGGAAAAAUGUGCACUGACUUUCGACCCCAGAGCUGAGAAGGCAGACAUUCAGGAUUCUAGCCCGGUCUCCCUCAGCCCGAGGUGACCUGUUCCAGGGCAGUCCUGUGUCCUCACUGUCUGCAUAACACGCGUGGACUCUGUUGGUCCAGCCUCCCCAUACAAACGAGCCUGUGGGUAGAGGCUUUUGGUGACUGUCCUGUGAUCAGUGACAAUACCAAAACACUGACUCAUCCAACAAAUGAACGUUUUAACAACCCUAAAUGCCUCCAAUUUCCACACGCCAAACAGAAUAGACCCCUAUUGCCAGCUAAUUUGAAAAUUUACACUCCAGUUUUGAGUUGAAGAUUCUCAAUUUUGUUGCCAUUCUCUCCUACAGAAGCAGUCUUGGUAUUCUGAAACUGGAGCAAAAUGCGACAAAGUGAACUUCCUACUGACUGGGCACGCAGUCAAAUGCAUGUCGUCAAGACUAGGGGUUCAAUCACAGGCUGUUCUUUCUCGAUGAAAAAAUUCACUGAUCUGAUACUUGUCGAAGCAGCUCCUCAUUGUUUCUUAUUUCCGUUUUUGUUUUGUGGGCUUACGUGUCCUCAUAACUUCUGAAGACCCAACGAAGUCUGCCAUUAAGUUUAUUUCGCUAAACUUGUUAACUCUUCUUUUAUAUGGUCUUAGGGACCACAGCAGGGAAGGACUAACAAGAGGAGAAAAGGGCUGUAGCUCAGCCAAGGUCCUAGAAGCACCUUUAAACUGGAACAAAAUAGCCUUUCUGUAUCUCCUUCCCUGUAAUGGAUCUGCCUUGCCUAAGGUAUGGGGGAAAGAUAAUGAUAAUUAGUACUUUAGAUACGAAUUUUUGGGGGAAGGACUGGGAAAACUUUGCUAUGAUAUUUGUCCCACGCCACAUCAUAGAAAAGGAUUAAAAGGUCACUCCGGUUUAAAUCCUGCCUCCAAUUAUUCAUGUAUGCCCUUUAGGCAAGUUACUUCCCUCGAUUUUCUUCGCUGUUAAAUGAGAUGAUAAUAGUAUCUAUGUCAUAAAGUGGUAGAGAGGACUAAACAAGUUAGUACGUGUAAACACAGUUACAUAGUUAGAUGCUAUUUUAUUUUUCCCAAGGGACAUAUAGCAGCUCAGAGGUUAAGAUCCUAUAUUAAUGACGUUACUAAAAAAAAAAAAAAAAAAAAAGGCUUUACAAAACCUUCCAUGGCCCUGCCAUGUACAGCAUUAGAGAAUCAAGUAAUGGAACCGAUGGCGACACUUAACUGUGAGACUACAAAAGGAACUUGCUCCAACUUCAAGAAGCGAAGUCUCAAUACCCUCCCUAGCACAUACAGACAGUGUAGCCCUGUGCUAAGGUAUCAAAAUGAUUUAUGCUUCUGGCCUCACAGGCUCAUUAAUAUAUAGCAGAUGUGCUUUGCUUACCAAGCUCUGGUUGUCUGGCAGCAUGACAAUGAUCUGUGCAUUAUGAUCCCAAAUCAUUCGCCAGAAAUCUUUCGUAGUAUGUGGCAGAGGAUGCUGGGUUAUAAUAAAUUCAUUGCUCCUAUAAUAGCCCUUCAGUUAGGAAGACGGAAAAUCAGCAGUUACAAACAUUUUAUUCUGACGCCGGGGUAAGUAAAAUAUGUUCACGAAAUAAGACGGCAUUGUUUUGACCACACGAAAACAAUUGAAAAAGGCAGUCAGUACAUUUGGCUAAUUUUUAGCUGUAUAUGCUAACAUGUGUAGAUAUUUUUCGCUCCACAUAAAUUUCCUCCUAGUUACCCCUGCUGUUUUUACUUAACGGCAAUUUCAACAUUUAUUCAAACGCUAGAUGGGUGAAAUUAACAAUAAAAUAAUUCCUUAAUGAACACUUCUCUUAAAGUAUUUUUGUACUCCCACUGGCUAGGAGUCUUUUGUUAGAGGUCUCCGGAUACAGAAAGCUAAUUUUGAUAUUACACAUCGAGAAAUCAUUUGAAAAGUGAAAUCAGCCACAUAGGUGGUAUCUGCUCUUUAGCACCUUUUAGUUUAAUUGAAUUUAUUUAUAAUUAACUGUUGACUCUCACCAUGAUAUAAGAAGCAUUAAUGUAAUCUGUUCCUUUCAUUCCAGGCAAUGGUGCAAGACCCACUCGAGCACGCUCGGCUAUGGUAUGGAAACAAAACAAAAACGCCACGUUUGCCUUAUUAUACACACAGAACGCAUAGUGCUUUCUGAGAUUCACUCGGUGCAUCACCUAUUCCCCUGGAUCCCCUUUCAGGUUAAAACUUACCUAUAUUUUUAACUAAGCUCAAGUGUUCUCCGCUAAGGAGAAUGUCAGUGGAAUUUUGCUGCACAGUCCCAGGAGGGCAGAGGCAACGUAGGAAUCAAAUUUUACUGUGGGAGAGGUUUUCACAGCAGAGCAUGAAAAGAACACUCUGUGCAGAGAUGACAGGAUUUCAGUUCUCAAGUGAUUAGUGCUUACGAAAGAACCAAUGACUUGGUUUCCAAUGGAAUGGGAAGAUUUCUUGGAUGAAUUUUUUUAAAGUAGGUGGAAACAAAUAUUGCAGGAAUAGAAAAGCAUGCUGUCUAUUACAAUGUAGGUGCCUGUCCUGCCCACACCAGCGCUAGAAGAAAUGAGGACACCCAACUAGGACGGUCAUUCGUUUAACAGUAACCUGGAAAAGUUACCAUCUAAAUACUGAGGUCUCCAUUUUCUGACUUCAUGCCCCAACUCCAGAAGGCUUUGGUCCUUUGCUUUCAUCUGACAGUGGGCCCGGAUUCCCAUCCUUUCUCCGCUGUCCACGUUGAACCUUCAGGAACCUAAGUGCUGGUCCUUGCUUUACAUUCUUCACCAGCUGUGGGGAAGAUCCUAAGUGCCAAAUGAUGGUCAGUCUCCAGAGUCAAAGCAAUAAUAAAUUUAUCUGUCACUUUCAUAAAUGAAUUUUUCAGAGUAGUUUUCCUUGAAGUGGCUCAGCUUUUUAAACUACUUUUUGUUUUCGUUUUAACUACUUGGAUGAAAAAUUUCCCCAAGUGGGUAACUAGCUGUUACAUGUUUUUUUCUUACCACAAAUACCUCUGAAAAGUUCACUUUUUUUUUUUUUUUAAUGACUCGGGCUCAUUACUCAACACUGGAGCAUGUUAGGUGUUCGGCCCUGUACUACCUGUACUACCAAGGCCUGAUGACUUUCAUUUCUGAAAUCCUCUGUUAACUCUCAUUUUCCUAUUUCUUUCUUAUUUUUAGUUACUACUUUUUCCUCUUGCACAAGACUCCUAACAUUCCCAUUUGACUUCCUCCUCCCUCUAGGCUGCUUCCAAAAUAAGAAUAAGUGGGCGGUGCUUAAAUACCUGAAGGGUUCCCAUGGGCUUUUUACAAAUGGGCUUUGUAACAGCUCUAUCAGAACACAGAUAAAUACAAUGCUACUUGAUUAUCAUAUGCUUCUGCCAUUCUGGGAAAAAACUACAUGUACAAAGGACUGUUAACCUUGGAGCACAGAUAGGUUUCAGAGCCAAUGACAUUGUAUAUAAAAGCUUGAAUAAAGGUGAAUUCUUCUGGGGGCAGGAAGGCUGGAGUUUUAACACCUUCUCAAAGAUGUGCAAGACUAAAAACAACAACAACAAAACACCACAUUAUACCCAUUGCUACAAACAACAGCCAUUCCUAAGUCUCUGUAGAGCAACUGUACAUUUUCUUAAUGAACAUCUACCUAGAGUUCCUAGUAAUGUUGCAGUGGUCUAGGAGUCUUGGUGCAACAGCAGCUUUUGAACAAGAGAGAACUUGAAAGCAUUUUCCACAGGGUGUGAAUCUCAGGAUGUUAACAGUUACACAGACAAGGGUUGUAUUAAGGCACUUUAGGAAGCACUAGGCAAAAUAAAGUUGAAGAGGUUUCUUCACUAGCACUUUGGUCACUUGCGUGCCCUGUUCAUUUCUAACGGAGAAUAUUUAUUACCUAGCAUUCAUUUUCCAUACCUAUUAAACAGCAGAAUCUGAUUUUUGCAAGCAUCUUGCAGGGUUAGCAUUCCUUGGAGCACACUUUGGGAAAUAAUGCUUUAAAACUGUCAGAAAAUUGCUAUUAAAAAGCUCAGUCAAGCAGAUGCUGCUAUAGUUGCUGGUCACCAAAACCGAAGAGGACCUUUUUAAAAAAAACAAAACAAAACAAAACAAAAAGCGAAGCCUUCACUGGGAGAUUACGGCAUUUAAUCAGGCCAGUUAAAUUCUAUUAUGUGCUUUGCCAGUAUCUUUCACAGCAUACAUUGAUGUCAAUCAAACGAGUUGUGAAAAAACGUUUUUUAGAAAUACUUUUUUAAAGCCAAGUUGGUUAUGAGAAUUGGCCUUGGUUGUGCCGUUUUUCGUACAAGUUUAAAGAGAGAUGCCCUGGCAGCCCACCCGAUUCCUUCAGUACCUUCUU
Long non-coding RNA from Acinonyx jubatus (cheetah), 7868 nucleotides. RefSeq lists it as uncharacterized. NCBI's taxonomy places the organism in Eukaryota, Metazoa, Chordata, Mammalia, Carnivora, Felidae. The transcript has 5 exons. The record is from RefSeq and is a predicted model, not a curated record.